ACUUGGCCCAGUUAAGAGCAGCGAACAUCAAAGCCCAAGAGGCUGGUCGGCGCCUAAUUACGCCGACGAGUGCAGUGGAUGGAAGCGAUGAAAAUGCAAAUGUGCAGAGCAAAAAAUACGCCAAAGCCAAAAUUAACUGGCAACAAUUGAGAGCGGCAAGAAAAAUCCGAGAAUAUGGAUGGAGGCAAGUUAAUUGUGCAGGGAGGACUGUGGACAGUGAACCAGUGGACGAGAAGUGGGCAGCCGGGCAGGACACUCGACGAGCUAGUCCUUGCUCUCUGCAUUUUUUGCUGCC
RNAcentral lists this long non-coding RNA (295 nucleotides) under Drosophila guanche. The record is from RNAcentral. Lineage: Eukaryota; Metazoa; Arthropoda; Insecta; Diptera; Drosophilidae.